Molecule: non-coding RNA, 1316 nt
Organism: Meleagris gallopavo (turkey)
Lineage: Eukaryota; Metazoa; Chordata; Aves; Galliformes; Phasianidae
Source: RefSeq, a predicted model, not a curated record
GGUCUGAUCUCCAGCAGCAAUUUUAGGUAGAAGGUCAGUGACACCAAGACUAAAGCCAGAGGGCAGGAAGCAGGGCAGCCCAUCUGCCUUCCUACCUGCUAAGCCAGCUGAGACUGAGUCAUGACAUAAACAACUGCCUGGUGUGCCAGGAAAAGCUGUCAUGACUGAACCUAAUGUGAUAGUGACCAUUGUGAGCCAUGAAUACAGUGUACGCAAUUUACUGUAAGUGAGUUCAGAGCACAGCGCAGCCAGUCAGUUCCUGACUGAAUCACUGACUGCAUGUCGUGCGAUAAAAGAGGCUCACACUCUGCUCACUGCCCGUGACGACACUGAGCACAUCUCUCUGAUUGCCCUGUGUCUUCUCAGACAUCAGUCUUCUGCAAGGACGGCCUCGUGGCUAUGCUGACCCCAUUAUCCAGGGCCAGCCCUAAGUGAUUUAUCUGACAAGCCUGGAGAACCAAAAAGCUGCAGUUUAUGACAUUUAGCAAUACAAGCUCUUUGCUGAGCUCUUCUGCUUGAUGCUACCAAUCUGUCAAGAGCUGAACCAAGAGCUGCCUCAUCUCUGGAAAUAACGCAGCAUCUCUGCCACGUUCAGCCUGGGCAGACUCCUGGAGCAGACCCCUCAGAGCACAAGCAAAAGUGCUUCACUGCGAUCCCUGUCAGCUUCCCAAUUUGGGCCCCUGCUGAAGGGAGCCACAGGGAAGAAGAUGGAGCAGGCAUCACAACUGCCCAGCCCUGCAGGAAGCCCGUGGUGGAUGUGGGCUGGUCUGGCCCUCCUGUGAGCAAGAGCCAAAAAAUGCAGAUUGAGAUAAGGAAAUAGAAGCCACCGGAGCAUGCUGUGCCACAGACUCUCCUUUGACAGUGGACAAGUCACUUCUCAUCUCAGAAACUUCCCCAGUUGUGAGACAGAGACAGCAACACUGCCCUAACUCACGCUACUGGAAGAUAAAUAUAGUAAUAAACAUGAACUACAAUUCUGCAGUAACAGGACCCCUCCUGAGUACAGAAAAUUGCCAUUUCCUUCGGUUUCCUUGUUCUUCAGCUGGAGUCAACAGGUGUCUGGGGCACUCGGAUGUGAUCUGCAGACAGCCAGCAGUUUGCAGGAUAGGCUGUAUCUCUGCAGAAGAGCUGCAGGUCCCUACACCCCCAUCACUCUGCCUGCCUUCCAAGCUCUUCGUUACCUGACCUGACUUCUCAUUUCAGUAUUCUUGCACUCUUCGUGACAUUUCAAAACCAAGAACAAACGCCUUCUGAAAGUCUUGGGAUGUGGGGAGAGCAGAAGGUAAUAUCAUUUAACCCAAAGUGCUCAUAACACA